RNAcentral lists this ribosomal RNA (460 nucleotides) under uncultured Bacteroidales bacterium. RNAcentral's name for it is "bacterial SSU rRNA". It matches the Rfam family "Bacterial small subunit ribosomal RNA", at positions 338 to 795 of the family's 1533-position model. The record is from RNAcentral. Lineage: Bacteria; Pseudomonadati; Bacteroidota; Bacteroidia; Bacteroidales.
CCUACGAGAGGCAGCAGUGAGGGAUAUUGGACAAUGGGCGGAAGCCUGAUCCAGCCAUGCCGCGUGAAGGAAUAAGGUCCUAUGGGUCGUAAACUUCUUUUGACGCAGAGCAAUAAGGGACACGUGUGUUCCGAUGAGAGUAUGCGUCGAAUAAGCAUCGGCUAACUCCGUGCCAGCAGCCGCGGUAAUACGGAGGAUGCGAGCGUUAUCCGGAUUUAUUGGGUUUAAAGGGUGCGUAGGCUGUUGGAUAAGUCAGCGGUGAAAUCACCACGCUUAACGUGUUGUGUGCCGUUGAAACUGUCCAGCGUGAAUGCGCUCGUCGUGAGAGGAAUGUGUGGUGUAGCGGUGAAAUGCAUAGAUAUCACACAGAACACCGAUUGCGAAGGCAUCUCACGAGAGCGUUAUUGACGCUGAUGCACGAAAGCGCGGGUAUCGAACAGGAUUAGAUACCCGUGUAGUC